Chelonoidis abingdonii (Abingdon island giant tortoise) is the source of this 128-nucleotide non-coding RNA. The record is from Ensembl. NCBI's taxonomy places the organism in Eukaryota, Metazoa, Chordata, Testudines, Testudinidae.
ACUGGAGGACUAACAAGGUGGAGUCUGUAAAGUGAGGCUCUGCUGAUACCAUCCUCCUAGAGGAAGGGGACGGAGAGAGCAGUCCUACUUACAGAAGAGCAGAGGACUCACUGUAUCAUCCAACAUUU